UUACGGCCACAUCACGUCGAAACGCCGUUUCCCGUACAAUCACAAAAGUUAAGCAACGUCGAGCCUGGUCAGUACCUAUAUGGGUGACCACUUCGGAAUAUCAGAUGCAGUA
Molecule: non-coding RNA, 112 nt
Organism: Acanthosepion pharaonis
Lineage: Eukaryota; Metazoa; Mollusca; Cephalopoda; Sepiida; Sepiidae
Source: the annotation of a GenBank genome assembly